ACUCCUCACAAUAACCGUAUCCCAUUCAGAGACACCACAGCUCUCUGUGAGGGAUAAAUAAGAUUUAGCUGGCAGAGCUAGAUAAUGAUCCACUCAGCAUGAGAGCUCAGUGCUCCUCAUCUCCAUCUCAUCUCCUGCCUCUCUCACUGUGCUGCUGUGACGUCAGUAUUGUACUUCACUAAUGAAGAGGACUUCAGUAAAGAUCUAUACUAGAACAUUCUCACAACAGGCAUAUUCUUGCUCUAGGGGGGGUUUUCAUAUCAAAGCACAGAUAAACGGAUAAAUCCAAGUGUGUGUGUGACUAACUGUGUGUGUGAGAUUCAAAGAGCUGAGCAGGCAGCCUAUGUCUUUGGUGUACUAUUGCUUUCAUUUAAGCCCGGGAGAGAGAAGCUAGCCUGCCCGGGAGAGAGAAGCUAGCCUGCCCGGGAGAGAGAAGCUAGCCUGCCCGGGAGAGAGAAGAUAGCCUGCCCCCCUGAGGCAUGUGACAACACAAUGGUUUAAUGAUCUGUGUCUGUUCUGCUGCUGCUAGUUUGUGAGACUGCUGCAGCACAGAGUGCUGAAUACAGGCAGUCAAGCUGGCCUGGCCAGUAGAAAUACACUGUAAGUCAGUGUUUCUCAGAGUGCUGAAUACAGGCAGGCAGCAGAUUCUCUGGCCUGGCCAGGAGAAAUACACUGUAAGUCAGUGUUUCUCAGAGUGCUGAAUACAGGCAGUUCAGCAAGCAGCAGAUUCUCUGGCCUGGCCAGGAGAAAUACACUGUAAGUCAGUGUUUCUCAGAGUGCUGAAUACAGGCAGGCAGCAAGCAGCAGAUUCUCUGGCCUGGCCAGUAGAAAUACACUGUAAGUCAGUGUUUCUCAGAGUGCUGAAUACAGGCAGGCAGCAGAUUCUCUGGCCUGGCCAGGAGAGAUACAUUAUGUCAGUGUUUCUCAGAGUGCUGAAUACAGGCAGGCAGCAGAUUCUCUGGCCUGGCCAGGAGAGAUACAUUAUGUCAGUGUUUCUCAGCCUGUUCCUCUGGGAGUGGGAGAUCCCUAGUUGUUCCACCACUAGUCAACUAGCCCAAUGCUCAAGCCCUUGACUAGUUGUGUGACGUGAGCUAGCUAGGUCAAAAAUGUGGAGCGGCAGGAUGUUUCCAAGGAACACAGAUGAAAUGGAGAAACCCACUGCUACAUAGACCUAACAGGAAUGUGGUGGUCGCCCCAGCAGUGCUGUCCCAUCCAGUCACGUAGACCUGAGUUGAGGAGAAACACCCUGAAAGUGAUCUGUAAGGCAAGCCUUCCUGGCCUGCUGGGGCCUCAGUCAGUGGAAUGGCAGAAGUGUGCUUUACUGCCUUCCUUGGAGAUGACCUGAGGUCAGGUCUAACUGUAGCGGAUGAACAGAGGUCAGGUCUAACUGUAGCGGAUGAACAGAGGUCAGGUCUAACUGUAGCGGAUGAACAGAGGUCAGGUCUAACUGUAGCGGAUGAACAGAGGUCAGGUCUAACUGUAGCGGAUGAACAGAGGUCAGGUCUAACUGUAGCGGAUGAACAGAGGUCAGGUCUAACUGUAGCGGAUGAACAGAGGUCAGGUCUAACUGUAGCGGAUGAACAGAGGUCAGGUCUAACUGGAGCGGAUGAACAGAGGUCAGGUCCAACUGUAGCGGAUGAACAGAGGUCAGGUCCAACUGUAGCGGAUGAACAGAGGGUCAGGUCUAACUGUAGCGGAUGAACAGAGGUCAGGUCUAACUGUAGCGGAUGAACAGAGGUCAGGUCCAACUGGAGCGGAUGAACAGAGGUCAGGUCUAACUGGAGCGGAUGAACAGACAUGGUUGGAUUUCCUGUUCAGACUACUGGUUGUUUCCUUGUCUUCUGCACCUGUUUUGGUCAAUAGUGAACAUACUCUCCCCCCCCCCACACACUCACACACACACACACUCCCCCACACACACACACUCCCCCACCACACACACAGCGUUAAUCCCUGGCUUCUGAUCUGCGUGUAGUCUUUCAUGUAAAGCCAGCCCUGUGAUGCCUGGUAACCCGAUACAGCCGCUAUUGAUGGUGAUGCUGUUGAUAUUCAGGAGAGGAGAGCAGCCUGCCAUGUUGCUCUCCCUGGUUGGUCCUGGGAUGCUGCUGUGUGGUCUGGGCUGAUAGGUGGAAGGCCCAUUAUCAAAAAUAUUGUUUGGCUUUGGAUGAUUUAAACAGUCUGGGCCUGGGCUAUAGGGCCUGGGCUAUAGGGCCUGGGCUAUAGGGCCUGGGCUAUAGGGCCUGGG
RNAcentral lists this long non-coding RNA (2245 nucleotides) under Salmo salar (Atlantic salmon). Its description in RNAcentral is "lncRNA (ENSSSAG00000099480.1)". The record is from RNAcentral. Lineage: Eukaryota; Metazoa; Chordata; Actinopteri; Salmoniformes; Salmonidae.